Molecule: ribosomal RNA, 799 nt
Filed under: uncultured Glomus
Lineage: Eukaryota; Fungi; Glomeromycota; Glomeromycetes; Glomerales; Glomeraceae
Description: SSU rRNA
Rfam family: Eukaryotic small subunit ribosomal RNA
Source: RNAcentral
AUCAACUUUCGAUGGUAGGAUAGAGGCCUAUCAUGGUGGUAACGGGUAACGGGGUGUUAGGGCACGACACCGGAGAGGGAGCCUGAGAAACGGCUACCACAUCCAAGGAUGGCAGCAGGCGCGCAAAUUACCCAAUCCCGACACGGGGAGGUAGUGACAAUAAAUAACAAUACGGGGUUCUUUCGGAUCUCGUAAUUGGAAUGAGUACAAUUUAAAUCUCUUAACGAGGAACAAUUGGAGGGCAAGUCUGGUGCCAGCAGCCGCGGUAAUUCCAGCUCCAAUAGCGUAUAUUAAAGUUGUUGCAGUUAAAAAGCUCGUAGUUGAAUUUCGGGGUCAGUAGGUUGGUCGUGCCACUGGUACGUACUGGUCUCACUGAUUCCUCCUUCCUGAUGAACCGUAAUGCCAUUAAUUUGGUGUUGCGGGGAAACUGGACUGUUACUUUGAAAAAAUUAGAGUGUUUAAAGCAGGCUAACGCUUGAAUACAUUAGCAUGGAAUAAUGAAAUAGGACGUUCGAUCCUAUUUUGUUGGUUUCUAGGAUUGACGUAAUGAUUAAUAGGGAUAGUUGGGGGCAUUAGUAUUCAAUUGUCAGAGGUGAAAUUCUUGGAUUUAUUGAAGACUAACUACUGCGAAAGCAUUUGCCAAGGAUGUUUUCAUUAAUCAAGAACGAAAGUUAGGGGAUCGAAGACGAUCAGAUACCGUCGUAGUCUUAACCAUAAACUAUGCCGACUAGGGAUCGGAUGAUGUUAAUUUUUUAAUGACUCAUUCGGCGCCUUACGGGAAACCAAAGUGUUUGGGUUC